Long non-coding RNA from Chinchilla lanigera (long-tailed chinchilla), 2216 nucleotides. The record is from Ensembl. Lineage: Eukaryota; Metazoa; Chordata; Mammalia; Rodentia; Chinchillidae.
AGCCGGACCGACACUCACCGAGGCUCGCCGGGAGCGCCCGCGCCCGCGCCCGCACUCGGAUCCCGCGGCGGCGGCGGCGGUGAGUCCGGCGCGGGUAAACAGGCACCUCCGUCCCUGACCUACUUUCUGCCUUCCCUAAAUGUCGCACCACUAACCUACUUUCCGACCAAUCCGCUCCCCGCCGGCCCAGGCCCGGCCCCCCGCCCACCAAUCGCUGUGCCCAACCCCCCUUCCCCGCCCACCAAUGGAGGAGCAGCGGAGCCCGGAUACCUGCCUCUUUCCGCCAGCCAAUCGGAGCGCGAGAAGAGAGCCGGCCUCGGCGGCAGCUCCUGACCAAUCGUCGCGCGGUUUGGCGGCCUAUUGGCCAAUGGAGUGACGGUUUGGGAAGUCACUGGCCAAUGGCGAGGCGGCGGGGGUCCGGGUUACCUGCUACUUUCCCAUCACCAAUCACUUGGCUCACAAGAGCGCACGCCCCGAGGAGCAGGCCAAUCCGCGCGCGUUCUGUGGUUUGCGCACCCCGCCCUCUCCCUGUCCCCUCAGGUCUCCCGCUCGCUUCGGCCACUGCGGUGCAGGUUUCGCGCUCUCCUGGUCGCUCGGGUAGCCCCUUUUCUGAGUCCGGGCCGGCGCCUGGCUCCUCGCUUUCUUCUGUCCUCCUUCCCUUUCUUCGCUCGAGGCAGCCUGAGGAAACGCACCUUCUCCCUUCCCUCCCUCCGACUCCAUCUAGGAAACCAAUUUUAGGCGCACAGAGCGCCAGACUCUUCCUAGAACCCCGAAGUCCAAACCCGAGGACGAGCGCUCGGUGUUUCUAGAAGGCGUCGCCACCAUGGGACCGCGAGCGUUCUCGCGUUCUUUUCGUACUCUUGACCUCCAAGUAUCCCGCAGAGCUGUCAUUGUUGAUCCGAAGAGAAACCUCCAACUCGGAGCAGUUCUCCGGGGUCCCCUUCCUGGAGCCGGGUCCUGGCUGCUGACUGUGUUGUGUGGAAGACCCCGUCCCGGCGGCCGCGCUGUGCACUACACAAGGCUGUCUGGGGGUCAAGACGGAAAGAAAGUCGUACGGAAAAUGCAAGGUCGUGACGAGAACGCUCCAUGUACUGGGGCUUUAACAAAGCGCUUGGAGAAAGUUUAUGGACAAGAUGAGAAAGCUAGAGGUGGAUGGAUGGAUGUCACUAGUUACGCUAAUAACCGGCUAAAUAACCAUUACUUAAAGAUGCUGACUAAUGCGUCCUUGUCGACCGGAAGGAAGGCUGGAGGGAACCAAAAUUCAGGGAGCUUUAACUCUGUGUCAGGCACUGUGGUUAAACACUUUCCCCGUGUUUUCUUCUGAGUCCUCACGGCCCCCCUGUGAGGAAGCUGUUAUCCCAUUUCACAGAUAAGAAGCUGAAACAGCUGGCACAGUGUCACACAGUAGUGGCAGAGUCAUGAUUCAAACCAGAACUUGUUUCACCCCAAAACCUCCGUACUACAGCAUUUACCAUCAGGACUUUCUUCAGUGUCCCGAAUGAAAAACCACAAGACUUGCAUGGCAUUUCCCAAUGACACAAAGCCAAGUGGGGGAAGAGAUCCCAUUACUUAACAUCAGUCAAAUCCAAUAUGGAGCAGUGGGCUGCCUCUAAGAGGGGUUAAUGUGGGGUCCCAUUCUGGGCGGCCAGCUGUUCCAACGCAGGUUAGGAGCACAGGUGUUUUAACAGAUGUUCAUAAGAGCAAUGCAGAGGGUCAUAAGGGAAAUACAACUCAAUCUGAGCCCACAGGGAAUUGUUGCUGCCAAAAUAAAGGAAAGCUGUCUGUGGCUGCAUCAGUAGAAGCCUGAUAUAAAGCAAGUUGUGUGUUGUUGUGCGGCAAUUACGACUUUGCAAAGAGAAAUUAUCUACAUGCACUAGGAGAGGGACCAGGAUGUACAGAGCUAGAAACUAUGUCAUAAAGGGAAGAUUAAAGGGAACAGGAGGUUUUGCCCUAGGGGGUACAAGGUAACUGCCAUCAUGUAUUUGAAGAGCUGUCAAAUAGAUGAGAAAUUAGGUUUAUUUUCCAGGGUCCUAAAGGAUGGAAGGGAGACCAGUGGGAGGAAAGUCUAGAAUGAAUCAAUACAAAGAAUUUUCUGACCACUUAAGCCUCCUGUGCCUUGAGAAGUUGGGUUUCUUGUCACAGGAAGUGUCUAGGCAAGAAAUGGAUGACCACGUGGGGGAAGGAGAGAUGGAAGGGAUGUCUUUUAGGAUUCUGCC